This is a long non-coding RNA of Oncorhynchus masou masou (cherry salmon), 423 nucleotides long. RefSeq lists it as uncharacterized. NCBI's taxonomy places the organism in Eukaryota, Metazoa, Chordata, Actinopteri, Salmoniformes, Salmonidae. The transcript is spliced from 2 exons. The record is from RefSeq and is a predicted model, not a curated record.
CCCGGUUCCUCCGCCGCCACGACUUGUUGACGGGGAACCCACCUUUUCUGUCAAUCGUAUUUUGGACUCUAGAAGGAGGGGACGCGGAUUCCAGUACCUGGUGGACUGGGAGGGUUACGGCCCGGAGGAGAGAAGUUGGGUGCCUGCUAGGGACAUUCUGGAUCACUCCCUUAUCGAUGAUUUCAAUCGACAGAUCGUUGUUUCUUCCCUGAGGUUGUGUCGUGUGUCCGUGCUCUUCUCUCGCCGCCCUUGUGUGGAUUAUCUGCUGUGCUCCUUCCUACCCAUCCGGACACACUCCCCUGGUUUUCUCAGUACGCUAUCAUCGGAAGAUGCGUCCGAGUCCCUGGGUCGGAUUCCGUCUGAGUACAGUCUGUCUGUCCUGUUGCUGCUGUAAACUGUAUUCAUUAAACCAUCGUUGCUUGC